CCUAGUAGGCGUGCGUUAGGCAAAUCCGGCGCACAUAUACCGAGGCCAAUGAUCGAGCCAGCUUGCUGGUGAAGUGACUGAACGAGGUUCCAGGAAAAGCCACUAAGCUUCAGCUACACACGACCGUACCGCAAACCGACACUGGUGCGCGAGAUGAGUAUUCUAAGGCGCUUGAGAGAACUCAGGAGAAGGAACUCGGCAAAUUGACACCGUAACUUCGGAAGAAGGUGUGCCCUAUUAGUGUGAAGUGAACAACGGAGCAUGAAUGGGUUGCAAAAAAUCGGUGGCUGCGACUGUUUAUUAAAAACACAGCACUCUGCAAACACGAAAGUGGACGUAUAGGGUGUGACGCCUGCCCGGUGCUGGAAGAUUAAAUGAUGGGGUGCAAGCUCUUGAUUGAAGUCCCAGUAAACGGCGGCCGUAACAAUAACGGUCCUAAGGUAGCGAAAUUCCUUGUCGGGUAAGUUCCGACCUGCACGAAUGGCGUAACGAUGGCCACACUGUCUCCUCCUGAGACUCAGCGAAGUUGAAAUGUUUGUGAUGAUGCAAUCUCCCCGCGGAAAGACGGAAAGACCCCAUGAACCUUUACUGUAGCUUUGUAUUGGACUUUGAACAGAUCUGUGUAGGAUAGGUGGGAGGCUUUGAAGCAGGGUCGCUAGAUCUUGUGGAGCCAACGUUGAAAUACCACCCUGGUGUGUUUGAGGUUCUAACCUAGGUCCAUUAUCUGGAUCGGGGACAGUGCAUGGUAGGCAGUUUGACUGGGGCGGUCUCCUCCCAAAGCGUAACGGAGGAGUUCGAAGGUACGCUAGUUACGGUCGGACAUCGUGACGAUAGUGCAAUGGCAUAAGCGUGCUUAACUGCGAGACUGACAAGUCGAGCAGAUGCGAAAGCAGGACAUAGUGAUCCGGUGGUUCUGUAUGGAAGGGCCAUCGCUCAACGGAUAAAAGGUACUCUGGGGAUAACAGGCUGAUACCGCCCAAGAGUUCAUAUCGACGGCGGUGUUUGGCACCUCGAUGUCGGCUCAUCUCAUCCUGGGGCUGUAGCCGGUCCCAAGGGUAUGGCUGUUCGCCAUUUAAAGAGGUACGUGAGCUGGGUUUAAAACGUCGUGAGACAGUUUGGUCCCUAUCUUCCGUGGGCGCUGCAGAUUUGAGGAAGCCUGCUCCUAGUACGAGAGGACCGGAGUGGACACACCUCUGGUGUAUCGGUUGUCACGCCAGUGGCAUUGCCGAGUAGCUAAGUGUGGAAGAGAUAACCGCUGAAAGCAUCUAAGCGGGAAACUCGUUUCAAGAUGAGAUCUGCCGGGGCCUUGAGCCCCCUAAAGGGUCGUUCAAGACCAGGACGUUGAUAGGUCAGGUGUGGAAGCGCAGUAAUGCGUUAAGCUAACUGAUACUAAUUGCUCGUGCGGCUUGACCU
This 1413-nucleotide ribosomal RNA is filed under the name metagenome. RNAcentral's name for it is "bacterial LSU rRNA". It matches the Rfam family "Bacterial large subunit ribosomal RNA", at positions 1519 to 2925 of the family's 2925-position model. The record is from RNAcentral.